This is a non-coding RNA of Paramuricea clavata, 338 nucleotides long. Lineage: Eukaryota; Metazoa; Cnidaria; Anthozoa; Malacalcyonacea; Plexauridae. The record is from the annotation of a GenBank genome assembly.
UGUGUUUACAGGAAAAAACUAUGGCAAUUUGUCAAUUUGGUAGAGGUAACAUCCAAUUAGAAAACAGAAUUAUAUGUUCCACCAAUCGUUACCUGUUUCCGGAGGUCUUGACAACAUGAUUUAGUAGCGUAGUAUUUCAACUUUUCAAGUUUUUCAACGAAUAGUCAUAAGCUGCACUACUGGUCGUGAACUGUGCACAAAACACCAAAAUGGCUUCGUUUUGGCUGACAACAGGUUUAUUGUUGAUGUUUUUUACCUCCUCGAUUUUGGCUGUUUCUAAACCAACCGGAGGUGUAAGUGUUUUAUAUGAGUGAUGUCGUCCAGGGUCUGCUUAUAUA